This 427-nucleotide ribosomal RNA is filed under the name uncultured bacterium. RNAcentral describes it as "bacterial SSU rRNA". It matches the Rfam family "Bacterial small subunit ribosomal RNA", at positions 355 to 774 of the family's 1533-position model. The record is from RNAcentral.
UAGGGAAUCUUCGGCAAUGGACGAAAGUCUGACCGAGCAACGCCGCGUGAGUGAAGAAGGUUUUCGGAUCGUAAAACUCUGUUGUUAGAGAAGAAUGUUUAUUAUAGUGGAAAAUUAAUCAAGUGACGGUAUCUAACCAGAAAGGGACUGCUAACUACGUGCCAGCAGCCGCGGUAAUACGUAGGUCCCGAGCGUUGUCCGGAUUUAUUGGUCGUAAAGCGAGCGCAGGUGGUUUAAUAAGUCUGAUGUAAAAGGCAGUGGCUCAACCAUUGGGUGCAUUGGAAACUGUAAGACUAGAGUGCAGUAGAGGAGAGUGGAAUUCCAGGUGUGGCGGUGAAAGGCGUAGAUAUAUGGAGGAACACCGGUGGCGAAAGCGGAUCUCUGGACUGUCACUGACACUGAGGCUCGAAAGCGGGGGUAACAAACA